Molecule: ribosomal RNA, 253 nt
Filed under: uncultured bacterium
Lineage: Bacteria
Description: partial 16S ribosomal RNA
Rfam family: Bacterial small subunit ribosomal RNA
Source: RNAcentral
UACGUAGGGUGCAAGCGUUAAUCGGAAUUACUGGGCGUAAAGCGUGCGCAGGCGGUUCGUUAAGUUCGUUGUGAAAGCCCCGGGCUCAACCUGGGAAUGGCAAUGGAAACUGGCGGGCUGGAGUGUGGCAGAGGGGGGUGGAAUUCCGCGUGUAGCAGUGAAAUGCGUAGAGAUGCGGAGGAACACCGAUGGCGAAGGCAGCCCCCUGGGCCGACACUGACGCUCAGGCACGAAAGCGUGGGGAGCAAACAGG